CCUACGUGAGGCUGCAGUGGGGAAUUUUGCGCACUGCUCGUAAGAGUGACGCAGCGACGCCGCGUGAAUGACGAAGGCCUUCUGGUCGUAAAGUUCUUUCGACAGGGAAGAAAAUGCCUAUAAGUAACUGUGUAUGUAUUGACGGUACCUGUAUAAGCAGCCCCGGCUAACUCCGUGCCAGCAUCCGCGGUAAUACGGAGGGGGCGAGCGUUGUUCGGAGUGACUGGGCGUAAAGAGCACGUAGGCGGUGUUGUAAGUCAUUAGUCAAAGACUAGAGCGCAACUUUAGGAAGGCUAGUGAUACUAUAAUACUAGAGUAUAAGAGAGGAGUGCAGAAUGCCUGGUGUAGCGGUGAAAUGCGUAGAUAUCAGGAGGAAUACCGUUAGCGAAGGCGGCAAGCUGGAUGGAAACUGACGCUGAGGUGCGAAAGCGUGGGUAGCAAACAGGAUUAGAUACCCGGGUAGUC
This 465-nucleotide ribosomal RNA is filed under the name uncultured bacterium. RNAcentral describes it as "partial 16S ribosomal RNA". It matches the Rfam family "Bacterial small subunit ribosomal RNA", at positions 338 to 795 of the family's 1533-position model. The record is from RNAcentral.